GGCUUUGUAGUUUAAGGAAAAUAUUAAAUUGCAAAUUUAAAGUUAGAAUAACUCUUAAAGUCU
This 63-nucleotide transfer RNA is filed under the name Metrius contractus. RNAcentral describes it as "tRNA-Cys". It matches the Rfam family "tRNA". Rfam says of the family: Transfer RNA (tRNA) molecules are approximately 80 nucleotides in length. Their secondary structure includes four short double-helical elements and three loops (D, anti-codon, and T loops). Lineage: Eukaryota; Metazoa; Arthropoda; Insecta; Coleoptera; Carabidae. The record is from RNAcentral.